AGACAGGUGCUGCAUGGCUGUCGUCAGCUCGUGUUGUGAAAUGUUGGGUUUAAGUCCCGCAACGAGCGCAACCCCUGCAUUCAGUUGCCAACGGUAAGGCCGGGCACUCUGGAUGGACUGCCGGCGACAAGCCGGAGGAAGGUGGGGAUGACGUCAAGUCAUCAUGGCCCUUAUGUCCAGGGCGACACACGUGCUACAAUGGCCGGUACAAAGGGUCGCAAUACCGCGAGGUGGAGCUAAUCCCAAAAAGCCGGUCUCAGUUCGGAUUGGAGUCUGCAACUCGACUCCAUGAAGGCGGAAUCGCUAGUAAUCGCGGAUCAGCAUGCCCGCGGUCGAAUACGUUCCCGGGCCUU
Molecule: ribosomal RNA, 353 nt
Filed under: uncultured Nitrospina sp.
Lineage: Bacteria; Pseudomonadati; Nitrospinota; Nitrospinia; Nitrospinales; Nitrospinaceae
Description: bacterial SSU rRNA
Rfam family: Bacterial small subunit ribosomal RNA
Source: RNAcentral